GAUCUGAAAUCAGGUAGGGCUACCCGCUGAACUUAAGCAUAUCAAUAAGCGGAGGAAAAGAAACUAACAAGGAUUCCCCUAGUAACGGCGAGUGAAGCGGGAAGAGCUCAAAUUUAAAAUCUGGUUUGCUUUGCAAAUCCGAGUUGUAGUCUGAAGAAACGUUUUCCAUGAAAGCUGAGGCACAAGUCCUUUGGAACAGGGCAUCAUAGAGGGUGAGAAUCCCGUCCAUGGUCUCAAGCCUUUCAUUUUGUGAUACGUUUUCUAAGAGUCAGGUUGUUUGGGAAUGCAGCCUAAAAUGGGUGGUAAAUUUCAUCUAAAGCUAAAUAUUGGCGAGAGACCGUUAGCGAACAAGUACCGUGAGGGAAAGAUGAAAAGAACUUUGAAAAGAGAGUUAAAAAGUACGUGAAAUUGUUGAAAGGGAACCGU
This 426-nucleotide ribosomal RNA is filed under the name uncultured fungus. RNAcentral describes it as "eukaryotic LSU rRNA". It matches the Rfam family "Eukaryotic large subunit ribosomal RNA", at positions 1 to 422 of the family's 3401-position model. The record is from RNAcentral. Lineage: Eukaryota; Fungi.